This 429-nucleotide ribosomal RNA is filed under the name uncultured bacterium. Its description in RNAcentral is "bacterial SSU rRNA". It matches the Rfam family "Bacterial small subunit ribosomal RNA", at positions 29 to 506 of the family's 1533-position model. The record is from RNAcentral.
ACGAACGCUGGCGGCAGGCUUAACACAUGCAAGUCGAACGCCCCGCAAGGGGAGUGGCAGACGGGUGAGUAACACGUGGGAACAUGCCCAAAGGUACGGAACAACUCCGGGAAACUGGAGCUAAUACCGUAUGUGCCCGAGAGGGGAAAGAUUUAUCGCCUUUGGAUUGGCCCGCGUUGGAUUAGCUAGUUGGUGGGGUAAAAGCCUACCAAGGCGACGAUCCAUAGCUGGUCUGAGAGGACGACCAGCCACACUGGGACUGAGACACGGCCCAGACUCCUACGGGAGGCAGCAGUGGGGAAUCUUGGACAAUGGGCGCAAGCCUGAUCCAGCCAUGCCGCGUGGAUGAUGAAGGCCCUAGGGUUGUAAAAUCCUUUCGUUGGGGACGAUAAUGACGGUACCCAAAGAAGAAGCUCCGGCUAACUUCGU